RNAcentral lists this ribosomal RNA (497 nucleotides) under uncultured bacterium. Its description in RNAcentral is "partial 16S ribosomal RNA". It matches the Rfam family "Bacterial small subunit ribosomal RNA", at positions 28 to 507 of the family's 1533-position model. The record is from RNAcentral.
GAUGAACGCUGGCGGCGUGCCUAAUACAUGCAAGUCGAGCGAACAGACCAGGAGCUUGCUCCUCUUACGUCAGCGGCGGACGGGUGAGUAACACGUGGACAACCUACCUACAAGACUGGGAUAACUUCGGGAAACCGGAGCUAAUACCGGAUAAUAUAUUGAACCGCAUGGUCCAAUAGUGAAAGACGGUUUUGCUGUCGUUUAUAGCUGGAUCGGCGCCGCAUUAGCUAGUUGGUAAGGUAACGGCUUACCAAGGCAACGACGCGUAGCCGACCUGAGAGGGGGAUCGGCCAAACUGGAACGAAGACACGGUCCAGACUCCUACGGGGGCCGGCAGAGGGGAAUCUUCGGCAAGGGGCGAAAGCGUGACGGGGCAACGCCGGGUGGGGGAUGAGGGUCUUGGGUUCGAAAGACUCGGUGAGUAGGGAGGAAGAAAGGUGUAAGUAAAGGGGCGCGUAGUGACGGUACCUAAUCAGAAAGCCACGGCUAACUACGUG